Molecule: unclassified non-coding RNA, 804 nt
Filed under: Hevea brasiliensis (rubber tree)
Lineage: Eukaryota; Viridiplantae; Streptophyta; Magnoliopsida; Malpighiales; Euphorbiaceae
Source: RNAcentral
CCCUUGUAAUGCUGUAAUGCUUGUUUUUUUUAUCUAAAGAUGUAGUAAGUUUCAUAGAAUUGGAUGAAAAAACAAGCAUUACAGCAUUACAUGGGCUAGAACCCAAAACAAAGGUUUAAAACCAAGGCUGACCAGCGGGCACAUAUCAUUGGAACCCAAGCCUAAACAUAACCAAACCCAAGACUCUAAAUCAUAAACCUGUAUGUACCUAGAUCACCAAAGUUCAAUCCGAAGAAAAGUUAACCCUAGCAAGGCAAGAGAAAGCAAAACGCCAAGUAGCGUCGCCUUUAAUGCCUAUGAAUUGCCAUCGAGGAUCUACGAAUUGUGGGAAGCACAGGGUCUACAUAAGGCAUAGCCUGAAUAAAGUGUCCCCAAUAAUCAUUCCGAUGACAUGAAAACACUUAAGAUAGGAUUCAAAGAUACACAAGCAAGAAUCGAAAGCCAUGGGAGCAGGGGAAGUAGACUUGGCAGAGUUUUGGCGUGCAUUUCAUCUUGCCAUAGAGGACCGGAAGACCAAAUUUAUGGUUUCAAUAUGUCCCCGAGAAUACCAGCCUCAUAGGAGUAUUUCACUUCUGCCUGCAAAGAACCAACCAGCACAAACAGAGUAAGAAACAAUAAGAAACCACAGGAAGAAGCAUAUCACAAAGGCCACCUAUUCAAACCCUCUCCCUUUUUAAAAACAAAUUUGUGACCCAAAACAAAAAACCAAAACUUUAUCUACAGUCCCUCAAGGGGAGGGUUACACCCACAACCCAGAUAGAAAGUAGAGACAACCCCCCGCCGCCCGCGGCGGGCGCGCCACAC